Molecule: ribosomal RNA, 386 nt
Filed under: uncultured bolidophyte
Lineage: Eukaryota; Bolidophyceae
Description: SSU rRNA
Rfam family: Eukaryotic small subunit ribosomal RNA
Source: RNAcentral
AGCUCCAAUAGCGUAUAUUAAAGUUGUUGCAGUUAAAAAGCUCGUAGUUGGAUUUCUGGUGAAAGCGUUUGGACGGCCCAAUGGGUUUUGUUCCGAUACGUCUUUUGCCAUUCUUGAAGGGAACUUGUCUGGCAUUAAGUUGUCGGGUUUGGGAUCUUCAUCGUUUACUGUGAAAAAAUUAGAGUGUUCAAAGCAGGCUUAUGCCGUUGAAUACAUUAGCAUGGAAUAAUAAGAUAGGACCUAAGUACUAUUUUGUUGGUUUGCGUACCUAGGUAAUGAUUAAUAGGGACAGUUGGGGGUAUUCGUAUUCAAUUGUCAGAGGUGAAAUUCUUGGAUUUAUGGAAGACGAACUACUGCGAAAGCAUUUACCAAGGAUGUUUUCAUUA